This 291-nucleotide ribosomal RNA is filed under the name Triticum aestivum (bread wheat). RNAcentral's name for it is "partial small subunit ribosomal RNA". The record is from RNAcentral. Lineage: Eukaryota; Viridiplantae; Streptophyta; Magnoliopsida; Poales; Poaceae.
AUGGGGCCGGUUGAUAUCUUGAAAUUUCUUAAACGGCUAGAUUGUUUCCCUAAUGCCACUAUUGCAUAUAGAAUUUUGUUAACUAUUCCAGUGACCGUCGCAUCAACUGAGAGAAGUUUCUCCAAAUUGAAAUUAUUGAAGUCCUAUCUACGUUCAACAAUGACACAAGAAAGGCUCAGUGGGUUGGCUACUAUAGCAAUUGAAAAUGAUAUACUGGAGGGGGUUGCUUAUGAAGAUCUAAUUGAAGAUUUUGUAUCAAGAAAUGCUCAAAGGAUGACACGCUUUGGCUAA